UCUUGGUCCAUUUAGAGGAAGUAAAAGUCGUAACAAGGUUUCCGUAGGUGAACCUGCGGAAGGAUCAUUAUUGAAUAAAACUGGUUGRGUUGUUGCUGGCUCUUAGGAGCAUGUGCACACCUAAUCCAUUUUUAACCACCUGUGCACCUUAUGUAGACUUGAACAAAUUUCGAGACCCAAUGUACUCGGUUAGAGAAUUGCUGUGUGUAUGCAAGCUCAGCUUUUCUUGUCUUCAAGUCUAUGUCUUUAUUACUAAACUCCAGUAUCUGACUGAAUGUAAUUGAUAGGCUAUUGUGCCUUUAAUCAUAAAUACAACUUUCAACAACGGAUCUCUUGGCUCUCGCAUCGAUGAAGAACGCAGCGAAAUGCGAUAAGUAAUGUGAAUUGCAGAAUUCAGUGAAUCAUCGAAUCUUUGAACGCACCUUGCGCUCCUUGGUAUUCCGAGGAGCAUGCCUGUUUGAGUGUCAUGAAAUUUCUCAACCUUUUCUAGCUUUUGCAAGCUAGAUUGGGCUUGGAUUAUGGGAGUUGCUGGCUGCUUUUUUGAAGUCGGCUCUUCUAAAAUGCAUUAGCAAAAAUCAUUGCUGCUCAUCAUUGGUAUGAUAAUUAUCUAUACCAUUGUGAGUCGGUCUUCUUUAUGGAGGAUUUUGCUUCUAACUGUCUCUAUAUGGGGACAACAUUUGAUAAUUUGACCUCAAAUCAGGUAGGACUACCCGCUGAACUUAAGCAUAUCAAUA
RNAcentral lists this ribosomal RNA (734 nucleotides) under Entoloma sp. PAM-2016c. Its description in RNAcentral is "eukaryotic LSU rRNA". Lineage: Eukaryota; Fungi; Basidiomycota; Agaricomycetes; Agaricales; Entolomataceae. The record is from RNAcentral.